UGGGGAAUAUUGGACAAUGGGCGCAAGCCUGAUCCAGCAAUGCCGCGUGAGUGAUGAAGGCCUUAGGGUUGUAAAGCUCUUUCGCACGCGACGAUGAUGACGGUAGCGUGAGAAGAAGCCCCGGCUAACUUCGUGCCAGCAGCCGCGGUAAUACGAAGGGGGCUAGCGUUGUUCGGAAUUACUGGGCGUAAAGGGCGCGUAGGCGGCCUGUUUAGUCAGAAGUGAAAGCCCCGGGCUCAACCUGGGAAUAGCUUUUGAUACUGGCAGGCUUGAGUUCCGGAGAGGAUGGUGGAAUUCCCAGUGUAGAGGUGAAAAUUCGUAGAUAUUGGGAAGAACACCGGUGGCGAAGGCGGCCAUCUGGACGGACACUGACGCUGAGGCGCGAAAAGCGUGGGGAGCAAAACAGAUUAGAUACCCUGUAGUCCACGCCGUAAAACGGUGAAUGCUAGACGUCGGGGUGCAUGCACUUCGGUGUCGCCGCUAACGCAUUAAGCAUUCCGCCUGGGGAGUACGGCCGCAAGGUUAAAAACUCAAAAUG
RNAcentral lists this ribosomal RNA (538 nucleotides) under uncultured bacterium. Its description in RNAcentral is "partial 16S ribosomal RNA". It matches the Rfam family "Bacterial small subunit ribosomal RNA", at positions 355 to 908 of the family's 1533-position model. The record is from RNAcentral.